Molecule: ribosomal RNA, 288 nt
Filed under: Triticum aestivum (bread wheat)
Lineage: Eukaryota; Viridiplantae; Streptophyta; Magnoliopsida; Poales; Poaceae
Description: partial small subunit ribosomal RNA
Source: RNAcentral
AUGGAAUAUUACCAAGCACCCUCCACUAUUUCGGAUAGUAUUUAUGGUUCUACCUUUUUCUUAGCAACUGGCUUUCAUGGUUUUCAUGUGAUUAUAGGUACUCUUUUCUUGAUCGUAUGUGGUAUUCGCCAAUAUCUUGGUCAUCUGACCAAGAAGCAUCACAUUGGCUUUGAAGCAGCUGCAUGGUAUUGGCAUUUUGUAGACGUGGUUCGGUUAUUCCCAUUUGUCUCUAUCUAUUGGUGGGGAGGUAUACAAAAGAAGGGAACGAAUAAGUGGAUUGAGGAAUAA